UACGUAGGGUGCAAGCGUUGUCCGGAAUUAUUGGGCGUAAAGAGCUCGUAGGCGGUCUGUCGCGUCUGCUGUGAAAACUCAGGGCUUAACCCUGAGCUUGCAGUGGGUACGGGCAGACUAGAGUGCGGUAGGGGAGACUGGAAUUCCUGGUGUAGCGGUGAAAUGCGCGGAUAUCAGGAGGAACACCGGUGGCGAAGGCGGGUCUCUGGGCCGUAACUGACGCUGAGGAGCGAAAGCAUGGGGAGCGAACAGG
This 253-nucleotide ribosomal RNA is filed under the name uncultured bacterium. RNAcentral's name for it is "partial 16S ribosomal RNA". It matches the Rfam family "Bacterial small subunit ribosomal RNA", at positions 524 to 776 of the family's 1533-position model. The record is from RNAcentral.